This 496-nucleotide long non-coding RNA is filed under the name Mustela putorius furo (domestic ferret). Its description in RNAcentral is "lncRNA (ENSMPUG00000025151.1)". The record is from RNAcentral. Lineage: Eukaryota; Metazoa; Chordata; Mammalia; Carnivora; Mustelidae.
CUGGUAGCCUUGGGGGAGUUCCUAACCUCUCGAAACCUCAGUUUUCCCAACUGUCAAAUGGAGACGAUGCACAGAGAAACUUCCUUCUUAAGCAGUUGUGAAGAAAAGAAAUCAAUGUGUGUGAAGCCAGAGCCAUGGCACUAUCUGCCUGGCUAAGGGGGCUGGAGCUGCAAGGUCAGCAAGUGUGUGGAAUGGGGCCUGGUUUUGGAGGCCAAGGGCACCAGGCCCCAUACACCAUCUGUCCACUGAUGGGGCCUCUCCUGUGGCAGUGACCACAGUCACACUGUGGAAACCACACACAUGGCCACAGAGGGAUGGUCUGAGCAGAACCACUCGUCCCCUUCAAAGUCUGGGCCCCACACCCACCUGCAGAGGAGUGACCCAUGCAGACCCUGGUCCUGCCCCUGGGAGAGCAAGGCCCAGAAAGGGGAGAAGUGGCCCAAAACAGAAGCCAACAGGAGCCGCCAAAGGGGCGCUAAUAGGACAGAGUUGGUGG